GAGGCAGGUUGGGUGAUCGCUGUCCUGCAGUCUUGGGUUUUAACACCUUCGGCUGCUAGAGAGAGGAAAGUCUGAACACCAUAGAGCGGUGAACUGGUUAACGGCCAGGCGGGGUAACUCGACGACAAGUGCAACAGAGAACAGACCAGCCGAUGGCAGAAAGAGUAAGCUCUUUCUGAUCAGGUGAUGGGUGAAACGGUGGGGGGCAGAAGCUCUUAAUGUAAAAGCCCACCAGCAGGUGUGGUAACACAUCUGGCUAGGCAAACUCUUCACGGUGCAAGACCAAAUAGGGAGGCGUUAUAAGGCGGCUCGUCUUAGUCUUUCUGUGACAAACAGAGAACACGACCUCCGGGUAGGUUGCUUGAGCGAUGCGGUAACGUAUCGCCUAGAUGAAUGAUCACUACUCUAUCUGCUGGCUUACCAACAGAUAGAGCACAGAAUUCGGCUUACAGACCUACCUCAGCA
This 465-nucleotide RNase P RNA is filed under the name Blastocatellia bacterium. RNAcentral's name for it is "RNase P RNA component class A". It matches the Rfam family "Bacterial RNase P class A". From Rfam's summary of the family: Ribonuclease P (RNase P) is a ubiquitous endoribonuclease, found in archaea, bacteria and eukarya as well as chloroplasts and mitochondria. Its best characterised activity is the generation of mature 5'-ends of tRNAs by cleaving the 5'-leader elements of precursor-tRNAs. Cellular RNase Ps are ribonucleoproteins. The record is from RNAcentral. Lineage: Bacteria; Pseudomonadati; Acidobacteriota; Blastocatellia.